Molecule: ribosomal RNA, 434 nt
Filed under: uncultured bacterium
Lineage: Bacteria
Description: partial 16S ribosomal RNA
Rfam family: Bacterial small subunit ribosomal RNA
Source: RNAcentral
AGCGAACGCUGGCGGCAGGCCUAACACAUGCAAGUCGAACGAACAUUCCGGGGUUAGUGGCGGACGGGUGAGUAACACGUGGGAACGUGCCCUUAGGUUCGGAAUAACUCAGGGAAACUUGUGCUAAUACCGAAUGUGCCCUUCGGGGGAAAGAUUAAUCGCCUCUAGAGCGGCCCGCGUCUGAUUAGCUAGUUGGUUGAGGUAAUGGCUCAUCAAGGCGACGAUCAGUAGCUGGUCUGAGAGGAUGAUCAGCCACAUUGGGUCUGAGACACGGCCCAAACUCCUACGGGAGGCAGGAGUGGGGGAUCUUGCGAAAUGGGCGAAGGCCUGACGCAGCCAUGCCGCGUGAAUGAUGAAGGUCUUAGGAUUGUAAAAUUCUUUCACCGGGGACGAUAAUGACGGUACCCGGAGAAGAAGCCCCGGCUAACUUCGUG